AAGAAGAAGAGGAAAUGGGGAAGAAGAAGGAGGUCGGGAGAGCUGGAGGAGAUGAACCCUAAUUUUAAUUUCUGAGAUGCAGAAGAUGAAUUGGGAAUUGGGGUAAUUGUUUAGGGAAUUAGGAUUAGUUGGGGGGAAUUAAGAAUGUUUAAUUAGUUUUAGGUUAAUUAUCAUAUGUGUAAAUUAAUUUUAUUAAAAAAAAAAAUUUUGGGUGCCAUGUCAGCAUCAUUUACACAGUCAGCACGCUACAUCAUCACUCGCCGGAGCUCCAAGCUCCGGCAGGGACCGGCUCCAAACGUUUUUCAAAGAGAGGGAUUUAAUCCACAAAUUUUUCCGGUCAGGGACCUGGUUCAGACGGCGACACAAAGACAGGGACUAAUAUGAGGAUUAAGCCUUUUUUUAAUAUAUUUUUAUCUAUCGUAAUUUACUAAUAUAACCCUUGGUCCACCGGUGAACCAAUAAUGAAAGUGUCCACCCUAGUGGGCACCGAUAUAUUAAUGGGUUAAAUAAUUUUUGGUCUUUUCAAAAUAGCAAAUUAUUAAUUUUUGCCGCUCAUUAAUUUUUUCGAUGAUGUGUACGGACAAUCAUCAUGCAUGUAGACAUUAGUUUCUCAUGUGCAAUUUUAUGACUUUUUUGCUUUUUUUUUUCUUAAUUCUUAUGUGGGUUAUGGAGGGACUAAAAUCUAAAAAUAUAAUCUUUCAUCUACCAAUAUGAAACUUAUAGGCAUUCCACUACCUGGGAGAUGAUUCACUUGGGUCAAACCUAACGACAUGUCAUGAGUAGGCUUGAUACAUUUUUUGUUUUCCGUGACUGGUUGUUGGCAUGGCCAAGUUAUGCCCAAUUUGCACUUGAUAGGGAAUUCUCCAACCAUUACCCCUUAUUGGUUCAGUGUACUUCUUAGGAUUGGGGCUUGAAGCCCUUCAGAGUGCUCAAUUGUUGGUUUGAGGAUCAUAGAUUUCAGGGGUUUGUGGAAGAAUUUUGGGAGGGUAUUCAAGUUCAGGGUUGAGGAGCCUAUGUUUUCAAAGAAAAACUAGAAUCGCUAAAAACUCGUUUGAAAGUGUGGAACAAGAAUUAUUUGGGAAUCUAAUUUAUAUAUAGCAAAAAUAAAGAACUACUGGAGAAGUUUUCAGAAUUGGACUUGAAAAAUAACGAGGUUCGUCUUAGUAUCGCGGAGCUCAAAAUAAGAAAGGAGGUAUUGGUCGAGUUCUUGAAGGUCUCUAGAUUAAAGGAGUCUCUUUUAUGUCAAAAAUCAAGGUCCAAGUGACUAAGUGGAUUAAAGAAGGCUACUCGAAUUUGAAUAUUUUUCAUUCCCUCGUGAGUUGGAGAAAGGCGAGUCAAUAAUUUAGUGGGAAUGAAAAUAGAGGGAAGGAGCAAGGAGAAAUCCAAACUAGUUAAUAAGUGGGUUGGAGAAUUCUUUGGAAAUAAAUUUAAGGAGGACAAGUGGGAAGUUCCAAGAGUUGACGAUGUAUUUUUCAGAAAAAUUUCUAUGGAAGAUAAUUUAUUAUUGACAACUAAAUUUGAGUCUUAGGAAAUCAAGGAUGUACUUUGGGAUUGUGGAGUCGAGACGCAGAUGAAAUCAACUUCAAAUUCAUCAAAACCUAUUGGCAUUUCAUGUCUCAUGAUAUCCAAAUACCUAACACCUUUCCUCUCCCAUCCUUAGCCUCAUUCAACCUUUGAUUCGAGCUUCUGGUGUAGAUUUGCUACCAACUUCAACCAACCACCACUGCCGCACAAGUCCGCUACCACCAAAACUUCCAGAUCUGCCACCAAACCUCCACAACCACCUAAACGCUCCGACCUCCACUGCCCACCGAAACCUGAUCUCAUUCACAGGUCCACAACCACCACAUCAUCUUCUGUUCUUCUCAACUACAUCAUCAUAUCUAGUUACAACAAUGAUGGGGAAGAUGUCUUCGACUUGGUUUGCAUCAUGUUGCAUCUAUCGCGUGAUGUUUAAAGGAAAAACAUAAAGAAAUUGUGAAAGAACAGUGACAGAGGUGGGAGGUUCUGUCAUGGUGGUGUGGCUGAGGAAGGUGGUGAAGCCAAAACACAGGGAGGGUGUCCCCGAAGGAUAGCUCAAGGGGUAAGAGCUAGGGACAUAAGGGUUUGGGAGGGUGAAAGGUGAAGGGUCCAGGGUUCGAACCCUAAUGAUGACUAAUUUACUAACAUUACUAACAACUAACAUUUACCUAUAAAAAUACAGAGAGGGUGUGUGUGUGUGUGAGUGAGAGAGAGAGAGAGAGAGAGAGAGAGAGAGAGAGAGAGAGAGAGAGAGAGAGAGAUGUAAUGGUCAAAGAUGGUGGAGGAGAAAGACCCACCGCUCCAACCUCCUUUCUCCUGCACGAAGUUCACAGUGUGCAGUAGGGGUGAUGAAGGGGAGGCUCAAGGCGGUGGCAUGGCUCACCGAGCAACCAAAGAGGGGCGGUGAGAAAAAAGGGAAGGAAGAAUUUUUGUAAUUAGAAUGGGCAUUUUUGUAAUUUACUUAAAAAACAGUAAUUGAACCAUAGUCAUUCACAUAAAAAAGAACUCACAGUAGUCGCAACAUUAAAACAAUCCAUAUUUCCUCUAUUAUUUUUUCGCAACAUUAAAACAAUCCAAGUUCGGUGACCGGAAAUUGAUGACGUGAGCGCUCCGAGCGAGAAUUGGGUUGGGCCCAAUAAUAUUAAGAAGAAGAAAACGAAGAAGAAGAAGAUUGAGAUUUUCAUGGUUGAUGCUAUAUGGAGAGAGUGUGAAAGUGUGGUGGUUAUUGAACUCAGAAUUAGAAGAUUAAGUUAGCAUAGGAGGUGAAAGUGAAAGCAAACAAAUAUGCCAUUUAAGUGGUUGCUUUUCAUUUUCUUUAACAAAAUCGAGCAAUUUAGGGGUUGACUAAGAUUUGUGUUUGCAACAAAUAUGCAUAUAACAAACCUUAUCUCUAUUUCUAUAAUGUAACAAGCUCACUAUAUAUAAGUUGUCACCACUCAAUUAAGGGUAUUUUGUUAAAAUAAAGUAAGUUAGUAAGGAAUGAAAAUAUUCAUAUACCAGCAUAAAAAUAUUCUCUACUUUUGGACCUCUUUCGGAUGAUUUUUAGUGAAGGGUGUGAUUCUUAGUGGAGGGUGUAGGCAAUUGAGGUAAUGGAGGGUGCAAGCAGGCUCUAUGGCUGAGGGUGCACACACCGAAUUUUAUAAUUCCUAACAACUUUCAUUGUUGCACACUAAUAAAAUUAGUAAAGCAUCAAUUUCAUCUUAUUACAUUCAUAACGUAUAUCGAAUUAGUCUCUAGUUCAAUAAAAAUGGUAGACAUUGAUGUCAAGGUGUGGGAAAAGGAUGAAAAAAUAAAACUGAUACAUUGCAGAAGCUUCUAAUCAUUGUUGUUAAUUACAAGUUACAAUCCGUCUAUAGGUUAUUUCUACCACUUCGAAAAAAACUCAAAUAACAUUCACUUUAAUUUAAUAUUUGUAUCAUAAUAUCAUAAUAUUAGAACAAAGACUGAUAUAUGAUAUAUCAGAAUUUUGAGAUGCCAUGUUUCAUGCUCUAAGAUGUGAAGUAAGUAUUACAGUAGUACUGAAAAAAUUUCCCAGCAAUACGCAUCAAAAUCAACUUCAAUAAACAUAAAACUUUAACUAAUACGCUAAUCGAUAUCCAUAUCCUUCCCACCCUUUUUACUUUUAAAGUCGUUUACCGCCUUAUCAAAAGUGCCCCUAACAUGCUGGCACAUAAGCAUCAUAUGCUGACAUGAAUCUUUUAACACCUCACGGGCUGGUUCCCCUGCAAAUGUAGAAAAAUGACACAUUGAACAGAAAAUUAUUAAAGUGGCAUUGAAUCAGAUGUCAAACAUAAGAGACAAAGUUAAGAUAAAACAAGAAUCAUUUGAAAAUAUGAGUGCAGGCAUUAAUAGUCUUGUUAUCCACAAUGAAACACAAACAAGAAGAUUUAAAUUACGACCGAUACCCCGUUGUGGAUUCUCUCCAGCAUUGUCCUAUAAUGUUUUCUACUUAAAAGAAGAAUUUUUUUUGUAGAUGUUUCACUGUUUAAUCAUUAUACAUUAGAGAUACACUAUCUAAACCUUUUACAAUGUGUUUAUACAAGAACUUCCACAACAAAGCUUCUCAAGUUCAACAAAGAAUUCUAAGACAUGAGAACUUUCUUAGUAUCACAAGUUAGUUAUAGAAUUAACUAGCUUAAAAAAAGUAUGCUGCCAAUUUUCAACUUCAUAUAAAUUAUCUACCAAAACCAAAAAAUAAAAGGUCAAUAGAACAUCAAGAUUGGCUAACAAAACUUAAAAUUUAUCCACCAUGAAAUUGCAUGUUACCUGUUGUUUGGACUCUAAUAUUGACACGAUUAUCUGAAGGAUGAGGAAUGCUGUACCCACAAAAUGUCACUCUCGGACUGCAAGACAACAUUAAAAACAAGUUUCUCUCAUUACAGUAUAUACAGAAAUAGAGCUAUUCAAAAGGAAGAUAUAACAUAUGUUUCUAAUAUUAUGUCCAACAAAGCAAAUCAUUCAAACAAUACUUAACAAGAACAUGUAAAACGAUAAAUUAAUUGAUGAAGCACCAUAAAAAGAAACAAAAUCAACAUCACUAGGAAUUUCUUAUCUUAAUAUCUCAAGUACUCUCCUCUCCCUGAAGGAUAAGGGGGAGGAGAUCUUCAAUCAAUUUAUUUGUUCCACAAUAAAAAACUAACUCAUGUUCCUUUUAUAGAUAUUAAUUAUACAUUUACAAUUUGGUGAACAAUGGCUAAACUGAAAUUCAUGGCAGAUGCAAGGUCAUCUUCAGAGCCCUAAACAUGUCCCUCAAGUGGUUCAAGGAAGUUCAAGACUUGAAGCACUGAGACUAUAAUGCAGAGUUUCUCAUGUUCCUUUGUUAUAUCUAGAAUCUUUUGUUUGAGGUAUAUCCUAUCCACCUUUAUCUAUAAUUUAAAACUUGUCUCCUUAAUAAAUUUCCAUUUUCUAUCAUAUCAUGACAUAUAGAAGACCACUCGACUUGAAACAUCAUAACACUUGGGUAGACUACAUGACUAAGUCAAACUCCAAAUUAUAAAAAACAAAGGAAGUGCAAUGAAGCUAAAAAGGAUUCUCUAGAUGCUGGACAAAGUGGUAGUCACACAAGAAUUGGCAAAUCACUAACUCUUGAUUCAAGGUGUAUCUGAUAGCGUUUGCAAAAGUAUGAUCCUCAUCUGUCAGAGAAAAUGUUGAUUUACUCUCAUCAGAGUGCGACCCGUGUUCCAUCACAAGUAAUCAGUCUGCACAAAAAGAACCCAUUUUAAGAACAAAAUCAAAAAAACUUUCAGAAACAGCUCAUUGAAAAAUAUAAGCAAUCGAGGUUAGGGUUUUGACUUGAUAUAUUAGGUGAUCCACACUUGCAUACCGUUGGAUAUACUUUAAUUGAAUGGCUAGGAUUAAGUGAAUGAUUAAAGGGUAUAGAUGUAAAUUAACAAUCCCUAGGACCAAAUUGCAUCUCCGCCACCUGCUACUCUGCACUUCACCACCUUCUAUCGUUGAUGGACAAAGGGGUUAAGGUCGAUGCUGGUUGCUUUGAUCUUCUAUUUAAUUUGUACGGAAGGCGUUUGAUGAGGUGGUAUUCAUUCUGAAUCAAUCAGUGUAGGUUGGGCAAUUGCUUCAUGUGCCCAGUUAGAAGCAACCAACUUAGGAAGGUGAAGGUCAAUUUAUUGCAAUGUGAUAAAGGGAUUUAUGGAUGACAAUAUCUCAGUUAGCAAUUCACGCCUAGAAAUGUAUGGAAAAUAUUGCUUGGAGAAUAUUUAAUAGGUUGGAGAGGGAUGCUGGUUAACUAAUGCACGGAGGGAGGGCGUUUGAAGAGGUUGGAGGGUGUAAGUUAUAGAAUUAGUAGAGGGUGAUUUCAGAUUCAGAUAUGUGGUAACAGUGGCGGAUCCAGGACCUCGGGGUCAGGGGGUUCAAAUUUUUCAAAUGAACACAUUGAUAUACCAAACAGUUUAGAGACUUACCUUAAAUUGAACCAGGUAAUACAAGAACGGAAGAAGCCAAGAGAACAAAAUACAAGUAAGGAAAUGAAGGAAAUAAGAUAAGUGCGACAAAAAAUACAACAAUACAUGAACCAUAUACUAAUGAUAUCCCGCCAUCUUCUUGGAGGAAAGACUUUAGAAAAAGGCCUCAUUAAAACUUUACUAGGAAAAACCCCCUUGGGAAAACCUAGUGAAGGAAAAAGAGUACCAAUUUCUAAAAUCUAAAGGUAACCACCAAGAAGGAAUAAAAGCAGAUAAGAGAAUUAUAAGCCUCCUCCAACACUCCACUGCCCAAAUGCCUUGAGCCAGAAUAUAUCCAAAGGAAGAACCUGCCUCACAAAUUAAAACAAUGCACAGUAAAAGACCUGCACUAAAUCAGCUCCCCUCUUCGGUGCUCCUUCCAUAGUAGCAUAAGUAGCAGUAGCCAUCUCCAUUUGAGUGCAAUCAUCAUAAAUUGGUGUCAAUUCAUAGCUGAAUUUAAUUCCACCACAAACAAAAGUUAUUGCCUAAACAGCACCUUGCA
RNAcentral lists this long non-coding RNA (6480 nucleotides) under Lotus japonicus. RNAcentral's name for it is "long non-coding RNA (LJAP_LNC002228)". Lineage: Eukaryota; Viridiplantae; Streptophyta; Magnoliopsida; Fabales; Fabaceae. The record is from RNAcentral.